Molecule: RNA transcript, 19842 nt
Organism: Loxodonta africana (African savanna elephant)
Lineage: Eukaryota; Metazoa; Chordata; Mammalia; Proboscidea; Elephantidae
Gene: LARS2
Gene name: leucyl-tRNA synthetase 2, mitochondrial
Exons: 24
Source: RefSeq, a predicted model, not a curated record
UUGUUGUUCUGCCAACAUGGCGGCUCCCAUGGUGACUCGUAGGGACGUGUCUGUCUAAAGGCGGGAUCCUAGGCGUGGAGAAGCCGCAGGCCACAGCCUGUGAUCAGGUAUCUCUGCCCAUACAUGAUUGUCAUUUUGGGUCCAUUCCUCAGGCCCCUCCUUCUCUGGCCAUAAUUCUCAAACCUCAACAGUACACCCCAGGGCCUUCCUGCCAUCCGAAGAAUGGCUUCUGCUUGGCAGAGACUUGGUUUUUAUGCAUCACUUCUGAAAAGGCAGCUAACUGGCGGACCGGACAUCAUCAAGUGGGAAAGGAGAGUAAUUCCAGGAUGUGCCAGAAGUAUUUACAGUGUCACCGGAGAGUGGACGAGGCAGUAUACAUUGCAGACAAGAAAGGACGUGGAGAAAUGGUGGUAUCAACGAAUAAAGGAGCAGGUUUCCAAAAUUUCAGACACCGAUAAAUCAAAGCCCAAGUUUUACGUGCUUUCCAUGUUCCCGUAUCCUUCUGGCAAGCUGCACAUGGGCCACAUGCGGGUCUACACCAUCAGCGACACCAUUGCAUGGUUCCAGAAGAUGAGAGGGAUGCAGGUCAUCAACCCCAUGGGAUGGGAUGCGUUCGGAUUGCCUGCUGAAAAUGCGGCCAUUGAGAGGAAUCUGCACCCAGAAAGUUGGACACAAAGUAAUAUUCAACACAUGAGGAAACAGCUUGAUCGACUGGGCCUGUAUUUCAGCUGGGAUCGGGAAAUAACUACAUGUUUGCCAGAUUACUACAGAUGGACUCAGUACCUCUUUAUUAAACUCUAUGAAGCUGGACUGGCCUAUCAAAAGGAGGCAUUGGUUAACUGGGACCCAGUAGAUCAAACGGUGCUAGCCAACGAGCAGGUGGAUGAACAUGGCUGUUCGUGGCGUUCCGGAGCAAAGGUGGAACAGAAGUACCUCAGACAGUGGUUUAUUAAGACUACCGCUUAUGCAAAGGCCAUGCAAGACUCCUUGGCAGACCUUCCAGAAUGGUAUGGAAUAAAAGGCAUGCAGGCCCACUGGAUCGGGGACUGUGUAGGCUGCCAUCUGGACUUCACAUUAAAGGUUGAUGGGCAAGUCACAGCAGAAAAGCUGACGGCCUACACAGCCACCCCCGAGGCCAUUUAUGGCACUUCCCACGUGGCCAUCUCUCCCAGCCACAGACUCUUAUAUGGGCACAGCUCUCUGAAGGAAGCCUUCCGGAAAGCCCUUGUCCCUAGCACAGAUUGCCUCACACCCGUGAUGGCUGUGAACAUGCUCACCCAGCAGGAGGUGCCUGUGGUUAUCAUGGCCAAAGCAGACUCUGAAGGCUCUCUGGAUUCAAAAAUAGGAAUUCCCAGCACGAGCUCAGAAGACACCCUCUUAGCCCAAACCUUAGGUCUGUCCUACUCUGAGGUUAUUGAAAUGUCGCCAGAUGGCACGGAGAGACUGGUCAAUUCUGCUGAGUUCACAGGUAUGACCCGGCAGGAUGCUUUUCAGGCCCUGACUCAGAAAGCCCGGAGGAAGAGGGUGGGUGGAGACGUGACCAGUGAUAAGCUGAAAGACUGGCUGGUCUCGAGGCAGCGGUACUGGGGUACGCCAAUCCCCAUUGUCCACUGCCCAGCCUGCGGCCCCGUGCCUGUACCCCUGGAGGACUUGCCCGUGACCCUGCCCAGCAUCUCAUCCUUCACUGGCAAGGGAGGCUCCCCGCUAGCCACGGCUUUGGAGUGGGUGAACUGCUCCUGUCCCAGGUGCAAGGGAGCAGCCAGGAGAGAGACGGACACCAUGGAUACCUUUGUUGAUUCGGCUUGGUACUACUUCAGAUACACUGACCCUCACAAUACUCAGAGCCCCUUUAGCACGGCCUCAGCAGAUUUCUGGAUGCCUGUGGAUUUGUACAUUGGAGGAAAAGAGCAUGCUGUCAUGCACUUGUUCUAUGCAAGAUUCUUUAGCCAUUUUUGCCACGAUCAAAAGAUGGUCAAGCACAGAGAGCCUUUUCAUAAGCUGCUGGCCCAAGGCCUUAUCAAGGGGCAGACCUUCCGCCUACCAGCUGGGCAGUAUCUGCAGAGAGAUGAAAUAGAUCUCACAGGUUCUGUUCCUGUGCACUCAAAAACAAAAGAGGCAUUAGAGGUGACGUGGGAGAAGAUGAGUAAGUCCAAGCACAAUGGGGUGGACCCUGAGGAUGUUGUGGAGCAGUAUGGGAUCGACACCAUUCGGCUCUACAUCCUUUUUGCCGCCCCUCCUGAGAAGGACAUCUUGUGGAAUGUGAAGACUGACGCUCUCCCUGGGGUGCUGAGGUGGCAGCAACGUCUGUGGUCCUUGGUAACCCGAUUUAUUGAGUCCAGGGCUUCCGGGAAGGCUCCCAGGCCUCAACUGCUGAGUAACAAGGAGAAAGCCGAGGCCAGGAAGCUUUGGGAGUACAAGAACUCUGUCAUCUCUCAGGUGACCGCCCAUUUCACAAAGGACUUCUCACUGAACUCUGCGAUUUCUCAGCUGAUGGGACUCAGCGGUGCCCUCUUACAAGCUUCUCAGCAGGUGGUUCUGCACAGCCCCGAGUUUGAGGAUGCUCUUUGUGCCCUGAUGGUGAUGGCUGCACCAAUGGCCCCUCACAUAACCUCGGAGCUCUGGGCAGGCCUGGCGCUGGUGCCUCAGAAGCUGUGUGACCACUAUGCCUGGAAUGCCGGCGUGCUGCUUCAGGCGUGGCCAGCCGUGGACCCGCAGUUCCUCCAGCAGCCGGACGUCGUGGAUAUGGCUGUGCUGAUCAACAACAAAGCCUGUGGCAAAAUCCCUGUGCCCCAAGAAGUUGCCCGGGACGAGGACAAAGUACAGGAACUUGUUCUCCAGAGCGAGCUGGGGGUCAGGCUCUUGCAGGGGCGCAGCAUUAAGAAGGCCUUCCUCUCCCCCAGAACUGCCCUCAUCAACUUCCUGGUGCAAGAGUGACUGCAGGGAGGCUGCGGCCACCGCCAGGGCCUCCGGGAAAGCUCCUUCCAGGCCUGGGAUGAACAGAGAAGGCUGCGGGCUCAGGGAAAGGCAAAGACAAAUGUGUUAAUACUCAUCUCGCGCUAUGGCAGACUUGAGUCGACAGUGUGCCUCUGUGGUGAGGCCUGGUGCAGGGGUGACAGAAGGUGUGGGCAAAGGAGAAAUGUGGACAAUGGAGGAGGGGUCUUGCAGCCAGUCCCUCGACCUCCACCAUACAGAGUGGAAGGAGCCACCUGACCCCACGUGAUGCUGCUGGGUGGGAGCAGGAGAAGAGAAGCAAGCAGGAAUGAGCGCACUGCCUGGAAGCUUCUGGAUUCCAGAAAUUGCAGUGCCUUGGCACUCCCCGGGAACGUGAAGCUAAGCUGAGCAGCUCAGGAACAACGUGGGCAGUCAGUGUUGACCCAGUAACUGAGCUCCAGAUUGUGGUGUAUGGGCCCCACACCUUCAGGCUAAGUAAAUGAAGCCAUUUGGGUCUCGUUCAAACAUCAGUAUGUGGAAAUAGACACUGGGGUCGUCUGAUGUUGUUCUGAAAGGCAGCAGCGCUAGUCCCUCUGCCCAAGCCCCCCACCACCCCUCAGCUCUGCUGUGCAGGCCUCUGCCUCCCCGGCCUGGGGGGAUGCCCCGAAAGGCCUGGUGCACAGGCUCUUGGGUGAAGCCCCCCUUCCACACAUGGGUGGCGAGCAGCACUUCAUAUCCACUCCCCCAGGGUGUAACAUUUGCUGCGUAGUGAAGUGGAAGCAGGCUCUCCACUGCUGGUCCCUAAUCUCAGAGCCUCACCGCAGCCCAACAGGGAGCCUGCUCACAUUGGCCCCAGAUGGUGAUGUGAUCCCAGAGCCCGCCAUUAAGAAGAGCAAGCUCACUGCAGGCGGCUGAUACUGAUGCCACCCACGCAGUGCUUUCUCGUCUUCAGAGCUGCAGAGGCCUGGCUGCUAGGGAGAUGGCCAGGAGUGGACCCAGGCCAGUGGUAGAUAUGGGCAACCCUGGCUUUACAUGAAGCCAGCAAUUAAGGGCUCUUGCCAGAACCGGCCAAAGGCAAUGAUUAAUAUUUAAAGGAGGAAGGCCCAGGAGAAUCUAGCCCUUUGUGAUGCUGAAAAUCUGUCUUCGUUACCUGAUGUCAUUUUUCAAAGUAGCCUCAGCGUGGUCUCCUGCAGUUCAGCAGUGAACAGAUGCCUUUUGUAAUGUAAUAAAAUGUUUAUCCUGUAUGACUUUGGGACGUAUGUGUGAACUUGGAAUUUCCACCAUAUUCCAGUGCCAGGAGUUAAUCAGUAACAAAUUGAGGUAUUCCGUCAUCAUCAGAAGCAUUGGUUAUGUUCCUGACGCCACGUAGAAUGUUGUCAAGUGAGACAGGUGUGGUCCUUCUGUCUCUGGAACAUUCAGUAGAUGGCAGACAACAGUGGUUCAAGCCCAUUGGCAACAGCAGUUAAGUCGUCAGUUCUCAAACUUGGCUCCAACUUCUACCUGAGGAACAUACUGCUACUCCUGGUCCCCACGCUCAGAAAUGCCUGUGUAAUUGGUCUGGGGUGUAACCUGGGCAUCAGAAUUUUUAGAAGCCCCCCAGGCAAUUCUGCUGAACAGCAAAAUUUGUGAAUCACUGGAUGGAUUGGUACAUUCAAACCACAAUUUCUAUCUAGUCCUUCCGCUCUUCAAUCUUAAGUUUAACCUGGAUGAGUUUGGUCCAGGACCAAGACAUGAUGAAGUGGAGUUGGGAAAGGCUAGGAAAGGCAGGGGCAAGAACUGUACACCAGGGAUUUAAGACAUUCCCUGUGCUGACUUGAAUGUACAUAAUCCUAUCGCGUGGGUUAAAUAUAAGCAAACGGAUGAGGAGAUUUGGUACAAGGAGUGAGUGUUUUUACUUCGUUGUCUUUUGCUUUUCCUCAGAAAAGCUAAGUAGUCUAGAACCAGCUGACGAGAUGAGGGUACAAAGACUUUUACUUGCCCAUUAUCUGGCCAGAGCAAUGGCCGGUAAAACCUCCAGGCUCCUGGACUGACCAGUUGGCAGAAACCAGCAUGACUUUGGAGAACCUGUUCUCCAAGAAGAAUAAAACAUUUGAAAACUUGGCCUCAUUGGUAAUUACUAAGAAGUGUUCCAUCCCUUACAAAAUAAAAUGAAAGAAGGACAUUUCCCCACAGAUCAUCGGAUGGGAGACCUACAAGUUAAUUUUCCUUUUUACUUUUUUGCAUUUUCAAUUAUUUUAUUGACCAUUUAGUAUACCAGUAAUGGAGGAAAACAUCAAAAUGUACUAUUUUGUGAAGACUCAGAUGAGCUAAGGACCCCUCCAAUUUCUCUAUUUCUCCCAGUCAGGGUAUCUAGCUGCCUAUGGGGAUAUGCCCCAGUUAGGAAAACAUGCUCCUUCCACUGUGCCAAGUGGAACCCAAAGAAACAAAACCAAAAGCUCCCCUAAAGUUGGGGUCCAGGCCCUUGGUUUGGGCAGACAUGGGAAGUUUCAUCUCUCAGCUUAGGAUCUUGCAGCCCGAGGACAGAAGAGAGGGUGAUGUUCCCUUAAUGGAGCUCUCUUGGUGGGUAAAGCAAUACAACAGCCAAGAGCAUGAAGUCUGGGGUCCACCAGACCUGGGUUCAAAUGCUGAUUGCGCCCUUAAAACUCCAAUGACCUAGGGAAGCUAUGGACCUUUCUGAACCUGUGCUUCCUCAACUGUAAAGUGAGUCGUAAUAAUGCCCUCGGGUGUGAGGAUAAAGUGAGAUAAUGUGUGUAAAACACACGGCACGCGAUAAAUUCUCAAUAAGUAAGAACUGCUUGUGUUUUGUUGUGGUUAAUCUUGGCCUAGUAAGGAUAAACUGAUGGUCUAGAGUGGGAUUGUCUUUGGUCAAAGAGAAGAAAACAUUUACUAAAAGGAGCAUUUACAAAUGUCAAUCCUGGCCAUCCCAGGCCUGUGAAAGAAGAGCGAUUUACCCAGUAAACUGGGAGGACUUUUUAUCCUAUUGGCAGAGCCGGCCCAGUUAUAUGGUGUCGUCAUUGCAUGCAGUGAAAGCUGGUGUUAUCUACUCCCCAUGUUCCGAUUCCAUACAUCCUUCUGGUUAGAUUUCUGGGAGCCCAUCCUUGUCACAGUCAUUUUGCUGCUAGAGACCCUCUGUGAGGGUUAAUCUUAAGUGUCCACUUGGCUAGGCUAUGAUUCUCAGUGGUUUGACAGGUACUGGACUGGUUGCCCUUCCAUAAAGUAAUAUAAUGUAAUCAUCUUCCAUUAUGUGCUCUGAUGUGAUCAGCCAAUUAGUUGAAAGGGGAGUCUUCCUUGGAGGUAUGGUCUACCUCCAGUAUAUAAAUGGAUAUUCUGACAAAGCUUUCUCUCUUUCCACCCUGCACUCUUCUCAUCGCCUAACCUCCAUUUCCUGGGAUGUAAGCCUGCAGAAGUCUCUUGCUUGCUGCCUGACCUCUAGAUUUUGGAUACUACAGCCCCCACAACCCUGUGAGCCAGCAGAGGUCUCCAGCCUGCUGCCUGACCUACGGAUUUGGGAAUUCCCAGCCCCCACAAUCACGCAGCCCGGUUCCUGAACUGGACCCUGAAGGGUGGGCUGUGAGGGCACUAGCACACGGGGACGUGGUGCAGCUGGGCCAGCAUUGGCCAUUACAGGCCAGAGAGGCAUGGUUUCCACACUGGCUGACCCAGCUUCCAUGCACCAGCUGUCCACUCACCUUUCUCCUCCCAGGAGAGAAGGGAAGGGGGCAGCCAAGGCUGUAGCAACAUACUGGGCACCAGGCACCAGGCAAGGGGCCCUGCUGCUGCACUUGAAUCCUUACGGCAAUGCCACAAAGUGGGAAUUACGACCAAUUUCUUGUAGACAAGAAAAUUGAAGCCUAGAAAACACACAGUAAUGAAUUACUUAAGUCAUACCACUAAUAACUGUAGAACCAGGAUUGGGUCCCAGGACUGCCAUUCUGUUCACAGUUGAUGUUUUUACCAUAGCACCAGCCUGCUCUCCUAAGAGAGAGAAGUGGGGUGUCUUGGGAAGAAGUAUUGUUGUUAGCUGCAGUAGAGUUGACUCCCACUGAGCCACCUUAUGUACAACAGAACGAAAUGUUGCUUGGUCCUGCGUCAUCCUUACAAUCACCAGCAUGUUCGAGUCCAUCGUUGUGGCUCUUGUGCCAAUCCAUCUCACCAAGGGUCUUCCCGGCCCUCUCUAGCCCUCUACUUCACCAAACAUGGUGUCCUUUUCUAGCAAUUGAUCCCUCCUGAUGGCGUGUCCAAAGCAAGCAAGCUGGACAGUAUUCUGUUGUGAUCCAUAAGGUAUUCAUUGGCUAAUUUUCAGAAGGAGAUCACCAGGCCUUUCUUCCUAGUCUGUCUUAGUCGGGAACAUUUGCUGAAACCUGUCCACCAGGGGUGAGCCUGCUGGAGUUUGAAAUACCAAUGCAUAUAACAUGUUCUUUCUGUCCAGGGAAUUCUGAUGGAGCUCUGGUGUAUGUGGCCCCACAGAGUUGUACUUCCUUAAGGAAGGGCUCUGGGCUUUUGUGCCCUGAAUCUGAAGAUGCAGAACUGUGGGCUGCCUCUGCAGGGGGUGUCUAACUUCCCAGGCAUCUCUGAAUGAAGGGCUGCCAUUGCCUCAAGGAAAGUCUUCCAAGAAGCGCACAGCUGAACCAUCAGCAGUCCAUACCCAUAGCAACUGGGGAUGACACACCCAUCAAUCUAGAGGACCUGAGCCAAGCACCCACUGCAGGCACCACAAGGAAGAAGCCAGAGUCCGAGCCUAUGAGGUAGCGAGUCCGGGUGAGGAGAGCUGCCGACAGAAGCCAAAGUCACAAGCCAAGUGCGAGUGCAGGGUGGACUCUGAACAAGCUGAGGGGCCUCUGGUUGCCUUUAUGCCACAGACAUGGGCUGCGUGGCUCAGGGCAGUUCUGCUAAAUUCAAGGGAGUGGAUCCGACCAGACAGGAAAGCAUUAUUAUCCCCAUUUUGCAGAUUGCAAAACUGUGGCUCAGAGAGGCUGUCCCACUACAAUAUGUGAUGAAGUAUCUUGACCCCCAAUCUGUGCUUACUCCACUUAGAGUGUUCUUCCUACUUCAUAGGAAAAGGCCAGUGCGACCACCAGACAAAAUUGACCCCAGGAGGGGCAUUUUUCUUGGACAGGUGACCCCCUCAGAGUCCAUAGGUCGAAGGAAGGCCCAGGGACAAAGAAGAGUUUGCUCUCCCCUCAGCUCUUGUGAGGAGAGCAAGCAGAAAACAUCUGUUUCGUAGGCUGUGUCCCUGCCUGAUGCUGAGAGGGAGGUUGGCUACAGGCUUUCGUCCAAGCUGAUGAGUUUGGAGAAUGGAAUCUGGGAUGACCAACAAUGAGCAAGUGGGGAAGCCCCCUGGGUGGUGGGUGGGCAGCGGCAGCGCUGGCACACAGAGGAGAAUGGGAACAGCCAGGGAAAGGCAAGUCUAGGCAGAGGCCUCAGAUCCAAGGGUGGGGGACAAGGACUGUCCACAAGGGCUGGCCCCAUUCGAGGAUCAAUCACCGCCCUAGGCCUGCCCACAGGAGGGAGGUGGGGGCCCUAGGGGUAAGGUAGGGCCAGGCCUGCUGGAACCCGAUACCCAUGACUCAUCUCCUUAGAGCUGUGCCUCCAGCCCUGUCUGUGAGGCCUGGAAUUCCAUUUCUUGAGUAUGCCAGAGAGCUCAGCAUGUAGGAGCUGUGGUCUGCGACUCCAAACAUCAGCAACAGAGGUAAUGAUAUCCAUCAGUUAUCUGUCUCAGAAAAAGUCCAGCCAGAACACUCCUUAGACGUGAGGAUGGCGAGACUUUGUCUCACAUACUUUGGACAUAGUAUCAGAAGAGACCAGUCCCUGGAGACGGACAUCAUGCUUGGUAAAGUAGAGGGUCAGCAAAAAAGAGGAAGACCCUCAAUGAGAUGGAUUGACACAAUGGCUGCAACAAUGGGCUCAAACAUAGCAAUGAUUGUGAGGACGGCUCAGGAGCAGACAGUGUUAACGUUCUGUUAUACGUGGGAUCACUAUGAGUCAGAACCGACUCGACGGCACCUAACAACAACUCUGUGCUGGAGUCCCCAGGUGGCGCAAACAGUUAAAUACUCAAGUACCAACUGAAAGGUUAGCAGUUCAAACCCACUAAGAGGUACCUCGAAAGAAAAGCCUGGUUCUCUGCUUCCAAAAGGUCACAGCCUUAAAAACCCUGUGGAGUACAGUUCUACCUUGCACAAAUGGGGUCGCCAAGAGUCAGAGUCGACGCAACAGCAACUGGUUUGGUGUUUUUGUAAUUGUGAGCCGACACUGCUCUAAGCGCUUCACCAAAUAACGGCCUGGCCAAGGCCACACACGAGAAGAUGGCAGAGCCAAAAUUCAAACCCUGCUCCAGCACCUUGCUUCCCAAAAGCCUGUAUGCAAACCAAAAGCCCUUGUACCUUCUGGAUUCUCCAAGACGGUCCCGAUUUCCAGGGGUAUCUCCAGUUGUCCCCAAACUACCCUCGAACCUGCCCAGUCCAUACAUUCUGCUCUGUGUCUGGAAAGGUAGGCUCACUAUGGGUUCACACUCAGCGGAGCACAUCCCUGGUCUUCCGAGGCACCCCAUUCAUUAUGUGCCUGGGGACAGGUUUGGGCUAUCUCUCUGACCCUGGGACUGACCACUCACACAGAGCUGUCAUCUCUGGCAGAUGGAUGGAGCCUCCCUUGGUACCACCACCGGGACCCAGAAGUCAGGGGCUCAACUUUGCUCAACUCCACAUGCUGCUAGGAAAUGUCCCAUGGGAGGAAAGAAGUGGGAGACCUGGCCUGAGCCCACAGUCUCGGUGAUAACCUCGUGGCCUCACAGCGCCCGCCCGUCAGUGCCUUCCCUGAUCAUCCUUUCCAGGCAUAGCAGAACAACCUCAUCUGGGAUUAACUGAGGGUGACUCAGCCCUGGCACCGUUUAAAGGAGGACUCGCCCACCACAUCUGCUCCAGCUGCUCCCUCAUCGCCGCCCUCAGGACCUGGUGAUUUAGUCCUGAGAAUCAACCAAAGGUCACAGCUGUCAGGAAAGUGCCUAUGAGAAGUCUGUGAGAGCUGCUAGCUGUGGGUCUCUGCAGAGGAGGAGCACCAGGUCCCAGGGGAGGGAUUCCCCUUCCUCAGACAUGAAUGGGGUGGGGGAGGGGGUGUGGACGCUGUGGGGCAAUAGAGGAAGCUGAGGCCAUUUGCUGGGUCUGACAUGGCAUUCAUUGAGGAAGACGCAACUCUCUGACUAGAAACCAGGAGAGAGUGGGCAGAGGGGCUUUGGUAGGCGGGCUCCGGAGGUGGACUCCCUGUCAGUGGGCAGGACACAAGAUGGCGGCCACUGUGCAGAAACAAUCUUAGAGCUGAGAAGAGGCAGCCCAAACCAAGUGUCACCUAACAUCUCCAUUAUUGCACGGUUAUCAGCUGACUUCUUAGUCAGCAAGCAGUCUAUGUUAUCAGCAAAUAUCUUAGCUGUCAGUUCCCCUCUUAGUGAAUGUAGCAGACAUCUUAAUCAACAGUUACUUCUUUAUUGCCUAUGACUCCCUUAACCAAAACCGGGAAAAGAACAGUUGCCAUCAAGUAGAUUACAAUUCAUGACGACUCCCAUGUAAGCAGAUUGGGCCUUUCUUCCGUGGCACCUCUGGGUAGGUUUGAACCACCUACCUUUUGGUUAGUAGUUGAGGGAAAAUUAUUUGUGUCACCCAGACAAAAACCCACUGCCGUCGAGUCGAUUCCGACUCAUAGUGACCCUAUAAGACAGAGUAGAACUGCCCCAUAGAGUUUCCAAGGAGCGCCUGAGACCUUAUUAUUACCUGUGACCAGAUUAAUUAUGCAUUAAUAACUUAGUUGUCUGAUACUGUCUUAAUUGUCCACCAAUUGCCUUUAUCCAUGAAAAUUUUAGUGAUCAGCUAACUGUAUUAAGUAAUUGAACCCUGGUGGCACAAUGGUUAAAACACUCAGCUGCUAACCAGAAGGUCAGUGGUUCAAACCCACCAGCCAAUCCUUGGGAAAAAGAUGUGGCAGUCAGCUUCCAUAAAGAUUACAGCCUUGGAAACCCUAUGGGGCAGUUCUGUUCUGUCCUGCAGGGUUGCUAUGAAUUGGAAUUAACUCAACAGCCAUGGGGUUUGUAUUAAGUAAUGCAACUAUAACAAACAAACCCCUAAAUCUCAAUGCCUUACCAGCAAACUUUAUUUCUCAUUUCCCUAAGUCUAAUCCUCAGGGAAGGAGCCCUGAUGGCACAACAGUUAAGCACUGGGCUACUGACCUAAAAGUUGGCUGUGCAAACCCAUCCAGCCACUCUGUAGGAGAUAUACCUGGCAACCUGCUCCCAGAAAAUCCUAUGGGGCAGUUCUACUCUGUCACAUGGGGUCCCUGUAAGUUGAGAUUGACUCUACGGCACCCAACAACAACAAUCCUCCGGAGGAGUGGUGGGGGGUGAAGGAGGUUCUGUUUCAUUCAGUUCCAGCUUGAUGGAGGGACCCAGGCUGGCGGAGGCCCUACUGUCUUCAGCUCUUGGCUUUCAAGGUUGCCCUAGACGUCCCUAUCCAUCCAGCAGAUAGGGGAUGAGAUGGAGCGUCAGGCAGGAGGUAUUCACGGGCCGAGUCAGGAAGCUGCAUGCAUCACUUCUGACCAUUUUCGACUGGCCUCAGCCAAUCACAGGGGAGGCCGGAAGAUGAGGUCCCAGCUGUGUGGUCACUGCCCAGCAACAGCUCUGCACUGUCGAAGGGGAGCCCAGAUCUUUGGAGGGAAGCUCACUGCCGCUGCCACCUAGCACUCUUAGCCUUCAAACCCUGGUUGACACUGUACAUCUCAGUUAUCUUCUAAAUAUCUGAGUUGUCCGCUAGCACCUCCUUAGUGGCAGCUGUUUACCUUCUGUCUGUAGGAGAGCUACUAGUCGUGGGUCACUCUCUGUUGCUGCCUGGUGCGCUGUGCUGCCCACCCCGUGUCCUGGACUAGUUUUCACGCCUCAGCCACCAUGUGUGAAACCCCAGCCCUGCUUUCUGAUGUUUUAUAAAAUACGGACUUUAAUUCCAAGGCGCUUGUUUAUAGGCCCCCAGUUCUCCCUACUCGCCUUCCUCCCGCAGACUCACGCAUUGGUCUGUGGAGAUGGUUUGGAGUCUUUUGUUAGUUUGGGGGGCAUUGGAACCCCAACAUGUGCACAGUAGAAUUGCUCCAUAGAGUUUUCAAAGCUGUGACCUUUCAGAAGCAGAUUGCCAGGCCUGUCUUCCACGGUACCUCUGGGUGGGUUCAAACCGCCAAUGUUUCCAACCUUUCUGCUAGUAGUCAAGCCCUUAUCUGUUUGUGCCUCCCAGGGUCCCUAUGAGUCAGAAAUGACUCCAUGGCAACUGGUUUGGUUUGGUUUGGUCUGGGGACAUUUGAAAGGUAGAGAAAGGCAGGCUUCCCAGAUGCCCUGCAGGAAACCUGGGAAAUUCCUCAGAUUCCUGCUUCUGAGGGGUCACAGGGUGGAGAAAAGUAAAGCUUUCCUGAAUGUUUUACUGUGACCUGGUCCUGGAGACUUACCCACCCCUUUAACCGCCCCCCCACCCCACCCCCACACACACACACACACACAACUAAGGGCCUGUCUGGGGAAGAUACCUGGUGGUUUAUUUUUGCCUGACAGAGGAAUGCACCUCACAGCCAUGUGACUGGGGGAGGUGUGGGGAAGGCAAUUUGGCCCUGAGAAUUAAAGGUCACAGCCAGCAAGAAAGUAUCUGGGCCUGGGGCCAAGGUGGACAGUUAUCCACACUGUGUGCUCAGGUGGGACUCCAUCCCCUGGGGUGUCACAUUACAGGCACUGCCCUCCCCAUAUAGCACCCACCUAUGGUGGGAGUCUUCGGUAUUGUUAAUAAAAGCCUUGGGAUAGUUAUCAGAAACUGCUCAUAGCAAACAUAAUAUGUUGCUCUUAGGUGCUGGCAACCCCAUGUGACAGAGUAGAACUGCCCCAAUAGCUUUUUCUAGACUAUAAUCUUCACAGAAGCAGAUCACCAAGUCUUUCUCCCACAGAGCCACUGGGUGGGUUUGAACCCCCAGCCUUUCAGUUAGCAGCCAAGCCCUUAACCAUUGUACCACCAGGGUUCCUUCGGCCAUUGUAUACUGAGCACUAAUUCUGUGCCCAACAUUGUGUCUGACAAAUGGCCUAGUGGGUAGAUGGGGGACUCUUGAAUCAGCCUGUCUUGUUUCAAGUCUCAGCUCUAAUUACUGUUAGCCAUAUUCUCAUCAUUACAGGUAGUCCCUGACUUACUACAUAUUAGAGUUACGAUGAGCUGCACAUCUGUUUUUUUUUUUUUUGGUCUGUUUGUUUGUUUACAUCUUAUCCUUAAUAACAUGUACUAGAUACAAUGUUGCAGCACAUACAACAGCUGGGAUCUAGCCUGUGGAUCAAGGUACACCUUCAAGGCAUACUACUUACGGACUCCGUUUGCUCAGACAGUAACUGCCAACGGAUGGAGGUACGGUUAACAUCAUGUGAUUCCUGGAAGAAUUAUAGUAUCCGGGACAUUGCAGCUUCCUGGGAGGACGUCAUGGGAAAAUGCAUGCGAGGGAUUUGGAAAACAUUGCUGAGUUAUGUGAACACGCUCAAAGCAUUUGAUCAGGAUCAUAUGACAGAAGAGAUCAGUGGAAAAAUUGUCCAUAUGGCAAGAAUGCUGGAACUUGAUAUCGCUGAUGUGCAACGGCUCAUAGAUCAUGACCAAGGGGAAUUGACAGAUCAGGACCUAAUGGAUUUUGAAGAGGAAAGAAAAUGCUGAAGAAGAAAGAAAUGGUGAGGAAGGGGAAGGAGAGAAGUCGCCAAAAAAUUUUACAGUGAAAGGAUUAGCUGGUGUUUUUUCUAAACUAAAUCAGGGGCUUCAGCUGCUUAAAAACAUGGACCCAAAUGCUGAUCCCUUUCCUGAAGUUGAUAGGCAGAUUUGGGAAGCUGUGAGGUGUCACUGCUGAACAUAUGAAGAAAAAAAGAAAAGGACCAUCCAGACAACUCUCACUAAUUUUCUGACUAGAAACGCUACCCCAUUCCCAGGGGUAAUCCAGAUGGUCCAGAACCUUCCACAAGUCGAGUUAUUACACAGCUGACCAAAUGGCAAUGUCAUCCAACUCUUCUUCAUUGUCAGAGUAAAUGUUUAUGGUCUGUGUAUUUUUUAUGUAUGUAAGUAUGUUUUAAAACAUAUCCGUAAGUUUAUAUGUAAUGUUUCCAACCCUCGAAGACAGAUAAAGAUCAGAUUAAUAAAGACAGAUAAUAAAAGGCAAUCAUAAGGAAAACUAAAAAAAAAAAAAGGAUUCAGCUUACAUCAGAACUGGCUUAGAACAGAGUCGUUGGAACAGAAGCCCGUUGUAAGUCAGGGACUACCUGUAGGUGCAUUAUCUCAUUUAACCCUCAUCAGCGACGCAGCAGAGAGGUUAACAAGCAGGAGCCCCCUUUACGGAUGAGGAAACUGAGGAUUGGAGAUGUCAGGGAAUCUGCUUGAGGUCUCCAGCUAGUAAAUGUCUGGAGGCAGGCGCUAUUAGGUUGUGUUUCUUUCUUUCUUUUUUUAAUUAUUGUAAAGGGAUAUGUAAAACAACAUUUGCUGAUUGGACAUAUUCAGGUGCACAAUUUAGUAAUAUCAAUUAUGUUAAUCAUGUGGUAGGUUCCGUUUGACUGCAGAGUUUGUGAGAAUUGAUGGAGCUAUGCCCUUGGGAUGCGUGCAUUUUCUGAAGUUACAGUCCCUUAAAAUGUUUACUUAAAAAAAAGUCACAGGUACACACACACACACACACACAGUCCGGACUCACCCAGUGUGGCCUUGAGCCAGUCACCCACCCUCAGAGGCUCUGCAUCCUUGCAUCCAUGCCUGCACGCUACUUCCCAGGCCUGAGCAGUGUGGCUCAAGGACCGAGGCCAGGUGAGGAUAAGGGCACCAGGUCACCUAGAGGGUUGUGCUUCUGUACAGAUACUGCUGCAACCACCCAGUACCAUGAACUGUUAAGGAGCUAUGCUUUGCUCUGUGUUGUGCUGAGCCAAGUGUACCGGGAAAUGAGGAAAACAGAAUCCCUGCAUGAUCUGCCCGCUCACCUCUCCCCAUGCUUUCCCCACCCCUUAGCUAUCAAGUCUCUCAGGUUUCUACCUAGGAGUGGAAUUACUGGGUUACCAUAAAAAAAUAAAAUUAAAUAAAGAUAAAUUUUUUUAAUGGUAAUUCUGGAAACCCUGGUGGUGUAGUGGUUAAGUGCUACAGCUGCUAACCAAAGGUUUGGCAGUUCAGAUCCACCAGGUGCUCCUUGGAAACUCUAUGGGGCAGUUCUACUCUGUCCUAUAGGGUUGCUAUGAGUUGGAAUCAACUCGACGGCAGUGGGUUUGGUUUUGUUUUUUUUUUUUAAUGGUAAUUCUAGGGCCCUGCUGGCAUAAUGGUUAAUAACUCAGCUGCUAACCAAAAGGUCAGCAGUUCAAAUCCACCAGCCACUCCUUGGAAGCCCUAUGGGGCAGUUCUGCUCUGUCCUAUAAGGUCGCUAUGAGUUAGAAUUGACUUGAUGGUAAUGGAUUUGGUUUAAUAGGUAUGGUAAUUCUUUUUUUUUUUUCUUUUUUCUGGUAUUUUAGAUGAAGGUUUACAGAACAAACUAGCUUCUCAUUAAGCAGUUAGUAUACAUAUUGUUUCAUGACAUUGGUUACCAAGCCCACGACAUGUCAACACUCUCCCUUCUCGACCUUGGGCUCCCAAUCACCAGCUUUCCUGUCCCCUCCUGCCUUCUAGUCUUUGACCCUGGGCUGGUGUGCCCCUUUAGUCUCAUUUUAUUUUAUGGGCCUGUCUAAUCUUUGGCUGAAAGUUGAACCUCAGAAGUGACUUCAUCACUGAGGUGAAAGGGUGUCCAGGGGCCAUACUCUCACAGUUUCUCCAGUCUCUGUUGGGCCAGCAAGUCUCGUCUUUUUUAUGUGAGUUAGAAUUUUAUUCUGCAUUUUUCUCCAGCUCCGUCUGAGACCCUCUAUUGUGAUCUCUGUCAGAGCAGCCAGUGGUAGCCGGGCACCAUCUAGUUGUACUGGACUCAGUCUAGUAGAGGCCAUGGUAGUCGUGGUCCAUUAGUCCUUUGGACUAAUCUUUCCCUUGUGUCUUUAGUUUUCUUCAUUCUCCCUUGCUCCCAAAGGGGUGAGACCAGUGGAGUAUCUUAGGUUGCUACUCACAAGCUUUUAAUACCCCUGACGCUACUCACCAAAAUAGAAUGAAGAACAUUUUCUUUAUAAACCAUGUUAUGACAGUUGAGCUAGUUGUUCCCUGAGACCACGGUCCCCAGAGCCCUCAGCCCAGUAAUUCGGUCCCUCAGGGAGUUUGGAUGUGUCCGUGGUGCUUCCAUGACCUUGCCCUGUACAAGUUGUGUUGGCUUUGGGUAUGGUAAUUCUUAUGGAGCCCUGGUGGUACAGUGGUCAAGUGUUCAGCUGCUAAAUGAAAGGUCAGCGGUUUGACCCACCACCUGCUCCUCGGGAGAAAGAUGUAGCAUUCUGCUUCUGUGAAGAUUACAGCCUUGGAAACCCUAUGGAGAAGUUCUACUCUGUUCUUAGGGUCACUAUGAGUCGGAAUUGACUCAGUGGCAACAGGUUAUCCAUUGCUGUAAACUUUACGGAAGCAGAUUGCCACAUCUUUCUCCCAUGGAGAGGCUGGUGGGUUCGAACCGUUGACCUUUCGGUUGGCAGCUGAGCAGUUAAACAUUGUGUCACCGUAGUUCCUUAAGGGUUCCAAUUUCUCCACAUCCUCACCAACACUUAUUUUCCACUUUUUUGAUCAUAGUCAUCGUAGUGGGUGUCCUUGAAUCAAUUUUGAAGGUCAAUCUUUUAGACCAUCCUGACCUGCUGUCUAGGACUGGUAAAUUGAGAUUGACUGUAGCUAAGAUUUCACUGAGGUGUUGAGAUGCAAGGCCACAGAUUGUCUUUACAACAUGUUUGUCCAAAUGAGAAAAGCUGGCGAGGUGGGUAGUCAUAGCCCCAAGAGCACAUGACUUUUCUAGCAGUGCAAGCAUGUAUUUCAGCCCCACUACCCUCUUUGAACGAUAUCUUUCAAACAAUGUCAUUAACAUCACAUGCAAGUAAAAUUUUGCUGAAGAUAAUUCAAAAAUACAUCAAUAGGGAACUUCCAGAAAUUCAAGCCAGAUUCAGUAGAGGACGUGGAACCAGUCAUAUCAUUGCUGAUGUCAGAUAGCUCUUGGCUGAAAGCAGAGAAUACCAGAAAGAUGUUUACCUGUGUUUUAUUGACUAUUCAAAGACAUCCAACUGUGUGGAUCAGAACAAGUUAUGGAUAAAACACUUCAAAGAAUGGAAAUUCCAGAACACUUUAAUUGUGCUCAUGUGGAACCUGUACAUAGACCAAGAGGCAGUUGUUCGAAUAGAACAGGGGAUACUGCAUGGUUUAAGGUAAGGAAAGGCGUGCAUUAGGGUUGUAUCCUUUCACCACACUUAUUCAAUCUGUUUGCUGAGCAAAAAAUCUGAGAAACAAGACUAGAUGAAGAAAAUCACAGCAUCAGGAUUGGAGGAAGACUCAUUAACAACCUGUGAUACGCAGAUGAUACAACCUUGCUUGCUGAAAGCUAAGAGGACUUGAAGCACUUACUGAUGAAGAUCAAGGACUACAGUCUUCAGUAUCAAUUACCCCCCAACAGAAAGAAAGCAAAAAUCAUCACAGCUGGACCAAUAAGUAAAGUCAUGAUAAGCGGAGAAAAGAUUGAAGUCAAGGAUUUUAUUUUAUUUGGAUCCACAGUCAAUGCCUACGGAAGUAGCAGUCAAGAAAUCAAACAAACAACAUAUUGCAUUGGGCAAAUCUGCUGCAAAAGGCGGCUUUAAAGUGUUAAAAGCAAAGAUGUCACCUUGAGGACUAAGGCGUGCAUGACUCAAGCCGUUAUAUUUUCAGUGGCCUCAUAUGCAUGCAAAAGCUGGACAAUGAAUAAGGAAAACCGAAGAAGAAUUGACGCCUUUCAAUUAUGGUGUUGGCGAAGAAUACUGAAUAUACCAUGAACUGCCCGAAGAAACAACAAAUCUGUCUUGAAAUAAGUACAGCCAAAAUGCUCCUUAGAAGGGAGGAUGGCAAGACUUUGUCUUACAUAUGUUAGACAUGUUAUCAGGAGGGACGCAUCCUUAGAGAAGGAUGUUAUACUUAGUAAAGUAGAGGGUCAGCAAAAAAGAGGAAGACCCUCCACGAGAUGAAUUGACACAAUGGAUGCAAAAAUGGGAUCAAACAUAACAAUUGUGAGGAUGGCACAGGACUGGGCAGUGUCUCAUUCUGUGGAACCGACUUACCGGCCCCUAACAACAGCAACAGCCCUUUGCCUGGGCACCUCCGUGCGGUAUACAACCUACACAACUAUACCUGGUGGCCCUGCUGAAGACGCUGCCUAGGAAUUUCCAACUCUUUUCAUUCUCUCUGAAAAAAGAAACUGUGCGAGCACCCUGUAGCUGAUGGUAGGAGCAUACCACUACCCAAACCCGAUGGUUGCCAGGGUGUUGCUAAGCUGCCCCCGUACUGUGCUAAUGUUCUUAAGACUCAAAAUCCACCAAGGCACCUCUCAGCCUUCAAAGAAGUGGCCUAGAGGGAAAUACAGGCAACAUGAUCAUUUCAAUACAGGGUGGCCAAUGCUGUCUCCAGAGGUAAACUCAAGGUAGUAAGUAGAAUCAGAUACGACAGUUACCCAUAUUUCAUCAAAUCUAAGACACAGUUGAUUUGAAGAUACACCAUUUUUUGUGUGUGUAUACUGCUAAAAUAGAAAAAAGAAAUACUGCCAUUAAACUAUGGCACAUUGUUUUCUUAUCACUUUAAUUUGAUACUUACUGAAAUGUAUCUUUGAGACUUACUUAGACAAUUAUUGUCAUAUACCAUUCUGACACAGAUAUAAAAAGGAAAAUAUGAGCAAAGGAAGUUGGGUGAGGUAUCACUAAGACUUGUUCACAUUUAGGAUUCAAUUCCUCUGAAUCACUUUCCGUGCAGAGUUGCGAGAUUGGUGUCCUCCACACCGUAUUUCUCUGCGCCAUCGUAAUCAUCGGGGAUGUGGCAUUUCCAUUAUGGCGCUCCACUCUUGUCUCUGGGAUUUUCUUUUAAGUUGCAGGCAUCCGCUGUGCAAGAUUUGCAGUGACAACAAUAUCACAGCUGUUGCCUUUAAGAAUGCAUCUCGACUUCAGAGAUGCUGAACUGUGGAGAACUGUGCAUCUUAGGAUCAAUUGAAUAAGGUUAUCUGGCCUUGGGGUAGGCACGGAAGUUCUGCAGUUCCAUGGCAACAAAUGUGCACAUUAUGCUGAGUGAAAUAAGUCAGUCACAAAAGGACAAAUAUCUCAUGAUCUCGCAUACGUGAAAUGUCUACAAUAAGCGAAUGCAGAGAGGCCAAAGUUUAUUAGUGAUUACCAAGGACUGGGGGCGGGGCCAGAAAUGGGGAGUUAUUGCUUAAGCUCUACUGAGUUUCAGUUUGGAGUGAUGAAAAACUUUUGGAAAUAGAUGGAAGUGAUGGAUGUACAACAUAGUGAAAGUAAUUAAUAUCACUGAAUCAUACGCUUAAAAAUGGUUAAAGUGCAAUUUUUUUUGUUGUUACACGUAUUUUUUAAAAAAACAACCAGUUGCCGUUGAGUUGAUUCAGACUCAUGGCGACCCCUUGUGUGUGGGAGUAGAACUGUGUGUGCUUUGUGAGGCUUUCAAUGGCUGUGAUCUUUCAGAAGUAGAUCAUCGGGCCCUUCUUCUGAGUCACCUCAGGAGGAUUUGAACCUGUAGGUUAGUAGCCGAACACUUAGCCAUUUGUGCCACUCAGGGACUCCUAUAUAUAUUUUACUAUGAUAUAUUUUUUUAAAAAAACCUUUGGUCCAAGAGUCCUGAAGUGAUUCCAAGAAUCAAGAAGUGGUUACAGACUUUUGGAUGGAGCUCGGUGGUACAGGACAACUUCUGUCUCUGACCCUAAAUGAACUCUUUGACCUUGAGCAAGUUAUACACAGCUGAGACCUUGAUUUCCUUAAUUAGAAAGAUGAUCCAGCGAUGCCAU